UCGCUCAAAGGAUAAAAGGUACUCCGGGGAUAACAGGCUGAUCUUACCCAAGAGCUCAUAUCGACGGUAAGGUUUGGCACCUCGAUGUCGGUUCGUCACAUCCUGGGGCUGGAGAAGGUCCCAAGGGUUCGGCUGUUCGCCGAUUAAAGUGGCACGUGAACUGGGUUCAGAACGUCGCAAGACAGUUCGGUCCCUAUCUGUGGUGGGCGCAAGUAAAUUGAGUGGACAUGACCUUAGUACGAGAGGACCGGGUUGUACGUGCCGCUGGUGUAUCUGUUAUGCCGCCAGGUGUAAUGCAGAGUAGCUAUGCACGGCCAGGAUAAACGCUGAAAGCAUCUAAGCGUGAAACCUUCCACAAGAUGAGUUUACUUUUAAGGGCUGUCAAAGACUAUGACGUUGAUAGGCUAUAGGUAUAAAACUGGUAACAGUAAAGCCAAGUAGUACUAAUUGCCCGUAUGCUUUAUUUUU
Molecule: ribosomal RNA, 468 nt
Filed under: Bacteroidota bacterium
Lineage: Bacteria; Pseudomonadati; Bacteroidota
Description: Bacteroidetes bacterium (activated sludge metagenome) partial 23S ribosomal RNA
Rfam family: Bacterial large subunit ribosomal RNA
Source: RNAcentral